This 367-nucleotide ribosomal RNA is filed under the name uncultured Latescibacterota bacterium. RNAcentral's name for it is "bacterial SSU rRNA". It matches the Rfam family "Bacterial small subunit ribosomal RNA", at positions 1019 to 1382 of the family's 1533-position model. Lineage: Bacteria; Pseudomonadati; Candidatus Latescibacterota. The record is from RNAcentral.
CUUCGGAGCACCUGCACAGGUGCUGCAUGGCUGUCGUCAGCUCGUGUCGUGAGAUGUUGGGUUAAGUCCCGCAACGAGCGCAACCCUUAUCCCUAGUUGCCAUCAGGUAAAGCUGGGAACUCUGGGGAGACUGCCGGUGAUAAACCGGAGGAAGGCGGGGAUGACGUCAAGUCCUCAUGGCCCUUACAUCCCGGGCUACACACGUGCUACAAUGGCAGGUACAGAGGGCUGCGAAGCCGCGAGGUGGAGCGAAUCCCAGAAAACCUGUCUCAGUCCGGAUUGAAGUCUGCAACUCGACUUCAUGAAGGCGGAAUCGCUAGUAACCGCGAAUCAGCAGGUCCGCGGUUCCGAAUACGUUCCGGGCCUU